UACGUAGGGUGCAAGCGUUAAUCGGAAUUACUGGGCGUAAAGCGUGCGCAGGCGGUUGUGUAAGUCCGGUGUGAAAUCCCCGGGCUUAACCUGGGAAUGGCAUUGGUGACUGCACGGCUAGAGUGUGUCAGAGGGGGGUAGAAUUCCACGUGUAGCAGUGAAAUGCGUAGAGAUGUGGAGGAAUACCGAUGGCGAAGGCAGCCCCCUGGGAUAACACUGACGCUCAUGCACGAAAGCGUGGGGAGCAAACAGG
This 253-nucleotide ribosomal RNA is filed under the name uncultured bacterium. Its description in RNAcentral is "partial 16S ribosomal RNA". It matches the Rfam family "Bacterial small subunit ribosomal RNA", at positions 524 to 776 of the family's 1533-position model. The record is from RNAcentral.